ACACGAUUGAUUUCACUCAUUCAGAUCCUCUCUCUCUCUCUCUCUCUCUCUCUCAGCAGCGUCGCACUAUCCCCCUCUUACUGUCUCUCACCCUUGCAAGUAGUAGUGCUCCACGAAGCCACCACGUCUGGAUCUAUCCCUACCGCACCUGAUAAUCACCGCCUACGUCAGCCGCAUCAACACCAGAUCUAAGGAUAUGGAAUCAUAGAUCUGGAGGUGUUGAGAUGAAGCUGGAAGUUUUUGUUUUUUCAAUGCGAUUUGGGAAUUGAGAAGCUUUGUUUAAUUUCUAACUUAAUUUCGAUUCGCAAUUCUAAUAAUCUGCAACUAAUUUCUAUUUGGGUUUGUCAAAUCUUGAUCUGGAGUUGACCUAGUGUUGUUUAUUUCAUUCUGAUAGAUCUAGAAUUUUACUUUAGUGUUUUGAAAAUUGAGUUGGUUUCUAUGCGUUUAUGUUUUUUUAGAUACAAAGGUUUGGAAAUUAGUUCUUUGUUGAACCCAUUUCUUCGUUUGAUUGUGAAGAGAACAGAUCUAUAACAUGGAGUUCGAUAUGUAAUGGACUUCUUAUGUUAUUCUGUUACUUGCAGAUGCAAAUUUUCGUGAAAAUCCUUUGAAGCUUAGUGAAUGUGUUGUGAAGAUUAGUUGGUGA
Molecule: long non-coding RNA, 643 nt
Organism: Rosa chinensis
Lineage: Eukaryota; Viridiplantae; Streptophyta; Magnoliopsida; Rosales; Rosaceae
Exons: 2
Source: RefSeq, a predicted model, not a curated record